Molecule: ribosomal RNA, 301 nt
Filed under: uncultured bacterium
Lineage: Bacteria
Description: partial 16S ribosomal RNA
Rfam family: Bacterial small subunit ribosomal RNA
Source: RNAcentral
CAGCCGCCGCGGGAAAACGAGGGGAGCAAGCGUUGUUCGGAAUUAUUGGGCGUAAAGGGCGCGUAGGCGGUUUGGCAAGUUUGGUGUGAAAUCUUCGGGCUCAACUCGAAGUCUGCAUCGAAAACUGCCGGGCUUGAGUAUGGGAGAGGUGAGUGGAAUUUCCGGUGUAGCGGUGAAAUGCGUAGAUAUCGGAAGGAACACCUGUGGCGAAAGCGGCUCACUGGACCAUAACUGACGCUGAGGCGCGAAAGCUAGGGGAGCAAACAGGAUUAGAUACCCGAGUAGUCCCUGUCUCUUAUAA